CUUUAUUGAAACUUACAUCAUAUUUGUCUUUAUUUUUUUCAAAGAGAUGCUCAUUCUCUUUCACAAAUACUGCGAGACUGUAGAUAUACAUUGAUGUUAGAGGUAGAAUUCCAAGUGAUUUAAAAAAGGGCUUACAACUCUCAUUUGGUUUUUUGAAAAGCAUGCAUCGUAUGAUUCUUUUUUGCAACACAAAGGCUUCUUUUGAACUGGUAGAAGAGCCCCAAAAUAUUAAUCCAUACGAGAGAGUAGAGUGUACAUACGCAAAAUAAAACAUUUUUAAAGUAUCUAUACUUACACUAGUGCGCAAGUUACGAAUAAUGUAUGAAUAUUUGGCUAGUUUGCGACAUACAUAAUUACUAUGUGCGUUAAAUUUUAAAGCUUUAUCGAUGUAUAAGCCUAAAAACUUUACUUCAUCGGCCAACGGAACAGAUUUUGUACCAAGCUUAAUAUAGAUACUGGAUGACAUUGGGCCAUUUCUAUAUUGUACCACAAGAGUUUUGUUCAUAUUUAAUUCUAAAAACUGAGCCUCACAGUAUUUAUACAUUUUAGAAAUUGCGUCCGAAGCUUCCGCAGAAGUAGUGUGUAGGUCUUUACCUAUUGCUAUACAAGAUGUAUCAUCAGCAAAUUGACAGGCAGCGGCCCCAAUAUGGAUCCUUGAGGAACACCUUUUGAAAUGGUUAUUGGCUCGGACAACACAUUCAA
This is a long non-coding RNA of Tribolium castaneum (red flour beetle), 702 nucleotides long. RefSeq lists it as uncharacterized. The record is from RefSeq and is a predicted model, not a curated record. NCBI's taxonomy places the organism in Eukaryota, Metazoa, Arthropoda, Insecta, Coleoptera, Tenebrionidae. The transcript has 2 exons.